UUCGGCCUGCUCAGGCUGCCUGUUACACAAAAAUCUGACUUCCGUGUUAGCCGGCUGCAGCUGCAGUUUCCUGUCUGUUAACCCUGUAGGACUUGGUUCUUUUUAAGAUACAAUACAGGCCCUAAAAAAGACGUACAUUUGUCCAUGUGGCAAGUUAUCCGUCUGCUCUACCAAAACAGCUUCUGGGAUGUUUUUGCUUUACCUUUUAUCUUAUAGUAAAAUUCUGCAAUUGAAACAAAAUGAGAAAGCAGCAUGUUCAAAAGGCUUUGUGGCCAGAUGCAUGCAUGAACAACAUCUUUGAAUACUUCUCAUUUACAUUACUUGUUCUGGAUCACAAUGGUCACUGUCUACAGCCAAAUACAUUCUCAGUCACCCGAAAAGCAGCUGUGAGGCGUAUGCGGAUAUACUGCAUGUUGGACCUAAACCAUACCCCACUGUGCAGCUGAACAGCACCAGUGAAGCAAGUGGAUUUAUCCUGCCUGCUGUGCGAUAACAUGGCAAUGGGUGCAACUCGCUGCACGUGCAAGGUCCGUGGCCAUGGGAAUGUCUAUACCCUGCAUAAGAACAAGGUCCAAAGUACUGAAAGAAGUUUGUGUUUCACCAAGGGAUUCGAAUGCCCAGGUGUGAGACAUCCUGCCUGUAGCACUUACUUGGACAUGACGGUCCUUCCCAAGAAGAAAGUCACUACUGUUAAGGGAAAAAUUAUUCAGGACAAGGUCUAGGAAGCACUAAAAGCUAAUCUUACUACUGCAGUUUCUCUUCUGAUUUUGUCACUUUCAGGAAUCACUUGGUUAACAGUACUGUGAUAAGUGACUUUUUGGCUGGUUUGGGUUCUUUUUCAAAAAAAGCUGAUUAUCUCAAAGAAGAUUCCACCUGCUGAAGCUCAUAUCAAACAUGUGAAGUGAUGGAAUUACAAACAUGCUGCUAUUACAAUGGUUUUCCCUCUCCUAGGCUUAUGUCUUAUCACAACCCACUGCAGAUUUAGGUUAUGUCACUUUCACUUUUGAUCUCUUUCCUGCCCCUUCACACACUAUAUAUACAGUUUUGCUUUAGCUUUAAGGCUCUGCAUAUUCACACCUUUCUCUUCCCUAUCUGCUAUUCCGAUUGCUAUAUUCAUCUGAUUUUUGUGGUUUGCCUCUCACCAGCAUUAAGUCCUUCUUUCUUUUUUCACCACAAACGUGCUGUACAAUCACAUUCACAAAGGCUUAACUCACAGUUUUAACAAGGUGGAGGGGGCAGGGGGGGUGUUCACAUUUUUUUAAAUCAGACACACCAUCUUAAGCAUCUCACCACUCCUUCCAGCCACAGCACCCAGCUCAGUUCCACUUCUAGCACAACUCUCUAUAUGGUUACACAGAGAAGAGGAUCAGUGGAUCAGGUAUUUACUGGGUUAAAUUUAACCCAGGAAAGGCAACAAUUCACAAUGGUUCAUGACACUCCUGCAAUAGCAAUGGCAGUGGUAUGACUGAGAGAGCAGGAAUAAGCAGCUUGAGAUAACUUAAUCACUAACAGUAAAAGAAAUUCUUGUGAAACUAUGUGACCAAGCACUACAUCCAUGUUUUCACCAGAUUUGUGUUAUUAACUAUGUUUUCUUAAAGUACAAAUUACACUGUAGAUCCUUUCUUGCCUCUUCAACCUUAUGUAAGGGCAGGAAGAAAGCAAGCCUUUGAAAUAUAAUCGCGUCUCUGAAAAGAAACAACACGUUUCCCAGCUGUGGCCUUGUCUGCUGAAACCAGGUGAAAGACUUGCCCAUAAUUAACUAACAUCUGUAUAAACUGUUGAAUUCAUUUUAGCACCUUUACAUAUUAUUAUUUUUCAUGCACUGUGGGACUUACAGACUAUGUUUACUAAGCCCUCCUUAUCAGGUGACAGACAAGAGGACACUCCUGAGCUAAUGCCACUGUCAAGUUGUUUCCACAAGGGAAGCUUACUGCAGAGAAAUCAAUACCCACAUCAAAAAACAUAAUACUGAAAGGGCAGAACAAAUCCUGUUGUAUUUAUUGUACUUGUCAGUAACAUAAUAAAGUCCAAGUGUGUGUUAAUUAGAUACACAAAUAAGUCAACUCUAUGACUGGUCUCCAAGCUUUUUUAUUAAAUGAACUUUGUUACUUUUUUUUAAAGCCACCAUAUUCCCAUGUGGCAUUAGAGUGGACCAAUGUCAGAGGGUAGGGGAUUCAAAGUGAAGUUGUGUGCAACAUCUCAACUACAUCAGGAGCAACACAACAAAAGUAUAGGGAAUAUAAUUUUUUUUGUGUUGAAGAUACUACAGACCCAAAAAAACCUCCAGUACAAAUGUCAAUUUACCCUUUUACAAAGCAUUACUCUGCCUUAUCUGUCUUGCUUAACCCUGGUUUUUAAAGAUAUGUUGGAAUAAACCAUUCCAGGCACUACAAUGCAUAUUGAAAACCAGUUGCGAUGUUACUCUGCACUUCAGAGUGUCAUUAGUAAUUCAGGAAAUACCAAGGAAGAGGAAAAAUAAUCCUGCAAAUAUUUCUUAGGCAGCUACACAAAACAUCUAUUCCCAGGCAGAAGAUAAAGUUUGUACUGCAACCCCUGGUUUACCGUCUUUCUCUUGAUCUCUCAGCUGUAUUUCUCUUAAAAUCAUUCAGAUUCCAGUC
Molecule: long non-coding RNA, 2618 nt
Organism: Pezoporus occidentalis (night parrot)
Lineage: Eukaryota; Metazoa; Chordata; Aves; Psittaciformes; Psittacidae
Exons: 3
Source: RefSeq, a predicted model, not a curated record